AUACGUAGGGGGCAAGCGUUGUCCGGAAUUACUGGGCGUAAAGGGUGAGUAGGCGGUUGUUUAAGUUGGAUGUGAAAUCCCCGGGCUUAACCUGGGUGGUGCAUUCAAAACUGAACGACUAGAGUGUCGGAGAGGAAAGCGGAAUUCCUGGUGUAGCGGUGAAAUGCGUAGAUAUCAGGAGGAACACCGGUGGCGAAGGCGGCUUUCUGGACGAUAACUGACGCUGAGGCACGAAAGCGUGGGGAGC
RNAcentral lists this ribosomal RNA (247 nucleotides) under uncultured bacterium. RNAcentral describes it as "partial 16S ribosomal RNA". It matches the Rfam family "Bacterial small subunit ribosomal RNA", at positions 523 to 769 of the family's 1533-position model. The record is from RNAcentral.